Molecule: ribosomal RNA, 497 nt
Filed under: uncultured bacterium
Lineage: Bacteria
Description: partial 16S ribosomal RNA
Rfam family: Bacterial small subunit ribosomal RNA
Source: RNAcentral
GAUGAACGCUGGCGGCGUGCCUAAUACAUGCAAGUCGAGCGAACGGACGAGAAGCUUGCUUCUCUGAUGUUAGCGGCGGACGGGUGAGUAACACGUGGAUAACCUACCUAUAAGACUGGGAUAACUUCGGGAAACCGGAGCUAAUACCGGAUAAUAUUUUGAACCGCAUGGUUCAAAAGUGAAAGACGGUCUUGCUGUCACUUAUAGAUGGAUCCGCGCUGCAUUAGCUAGUUGGUACGGUAACGGCUUACCAAGGCAACGAUGCAUAGCCGACCUGAGAGGGUGAUCGGCCACACUGGAACUGAGACACGGUCCAGACUCCUACGGGAGGCAGCAGUAGGGAAUCUUCCGCAAUGGGCGAAAGCCUGACGGAGCAACGCCGCGUGAGUGAUGAAGGUCUUCGGAUCGUAAAACUCUGUUAUUAGGGAAGAACAUAUGUGUAAGUAACUGUGCACAUCUUGGCGGUACCUAAUCAGAAAGCCACGGCUAACUACGUG